AUGUCUAUGCACAAGCCGAAUCGGCGAAGCCGCGAAUGGCUCAUUACAACAGCCGUGGUUUCUUGGAUCUUUCAUCCUACUUGGAUAACUGUGGCAAUUCUAGAGCUAAUACACGCACUGAAACCGCAGCCUCGUGCAGCGGUGCAUUUAUUAGAACAAAGCCAACCGGGCCUCGCCCGUCCACUGGCGAAUCUGAAUAACCUGGCCGAUCGCACGGUCUCGCACCGGCGACGCAUCUUUCAAGUGUCUGCCUUAUCAACUUUCGAUGGUAGGUUACGUGCCUACCAUGGUUGCAACGGGUAACGGAGAAUAAGGGUUCGACUCCGGAGAGGGAGCCUGAGAAACGGCUACCACAUCCAAGGAAGGCAGCAGGCGCGCAAAUUACCCACUCUCGGCACGAGGAGGUAGUGACGAAAAAUAACGAGGCGGUUCUCUUUCGAGGCCCGUUAUCGGAAUGAGAACAAUUCAAACCCUUUAACGAGGAUCUAGCAGAGGGCAAGUCUGGUGCCAGCAGCCGCGGUAAUUCCAGCUCUGCAAGUGUAUACCUUUGCUGUUGCGGUUAAAAAGCUCGUAGUUGGAUCUGCGCCCCAGGAGUCGGUCGUCCCGAGCGGAUCGUACUGACAUCCGGGGAAUCUUGGCCGGUCUUCGCCUGGCGCCCUUCACUGGGUGUCUUGCGUGGCUGGCACGUUUACUUUGAAAAAAUUAGAGUGCUCAAAACAGGCGCACGCCUGCAUACUGGUGCAUGGAAUAAUAGAAUAGGACCUCGGUUCUAUUUUGUUGGUUUUCGGAACGGAGGUAAUGAUUAAGAGGAACAGACGGGGGCAUUCGUAUUCCGACGUUAGAGGUGAAAUUCUUGGAUCGUCGGAAGACGGACAACUGCGAAGGCAUUUGCCAAGAAUGUUUUCAUUAAUCAAGAACGAAAGUUAGAGGUUCGAAGGCGAUCAGAUACCGCCCUAGUUCUAACCGUAAACGAUGCCAACUAGCGAUCUGCUGGCGACGAUGCUGUCCCAGCAGGCAGCUUCCCGGAAACGAAAGUGUUCCGGUUCCGGGGGAAGUAUGGUUGCAAAGCUGAAACUUAAAGGAAUUGACGGAAGGGCACCACCAGGAGUGGAGCCUGCGGCUUAAUUUGACUCAACACGGGAAACCUCACCCGGCCCGGACACCGUAAGGAUUGACAGAUUGAGAGCUCUUUCUUGAUUCGGUGGGUGGUGGUGCAUGGCCGUUCUUAGUUGGUGGAGCGAUUUGUCUGGUUAAUUCCGAUAACGAACGAGACUCUAGCCUACUAACUAGCGGGCGGAUCGCUAGUCCGCAGCGCUUCUUAGAGGGACAAGCGGUGUUCAGCCGCACGAGAUUGAGCAAUAACAGGUCUGUGAUGCCCUUAGAUGUUCGGGGCUGCACGCGCGCUACACUGAAGGAAUCAGCGUGCACUCUGCCUGGCCCGAAACGGCCGGGUAACCCUUGAAAAUCCUUCGUGAUUGGGAUAGGGAAUUGCAAUUAUUUCCCUUGAACGAGGAAUUCCCAGUAAGUGCGGGUCAUCAGCUCGCGCUGAUUACGUCCCUGCCCUUUGUACACACCGCCCGUCGCUGCCCGGGACUGAGCCGUUUCGAGAAGAUCGGGGACUGGCGCUUGCGGCUUCUCGCGGAGCCGCCUGCGCCGGAAACCGUUUUGAUCGCAGUGGCUUGAACCGGGC
Molecule: ribosomal RNA, 1690 nt
Filed under: Diplopeltula sp. DiPeSp1
Lineage: Eukaryota; Metazoa; Nematoda; Chromadorea; Araeolaimida; Axonolaimidae
Description: SSU rRNA
Rfam family: Eukaryotic small subunit ribosomal RNA
Source: RNAcentral